Molecule: ribosomal RNA, 465 nt
Filed under: Vreelandella stevensii
Lineage: Bacteria; Pseudomonadati; Pseudomonadota; Gammaproteobacteria; Oceanospirillales; Halomonadaceae
Description: partial 16S ribosomal RNA
Rfam family: Bacterial small subunit ribosomal RNA
Source: RNAcentral
CCUACGGGUGGCUGCAGUGGGGAAUAUUGGACAAUGGGGGCAACCCUGAUCCAGCCAUGCCGCGUGUGUGAAGAAGGCCCUCGGGUUGUAAAGCACUUUCAGUGAGGAAGAACGCCUGGUGGUUAAAACCCAUCAGGAAAGACAUCACUCACAGAAGAAGCACCGGCUAACUCCGUGCCAGCAGCCGCGGUAAUACGGAGGGUGCGAGCGUUAAUCGGAAUUACUGGGCGUAAAGCGCGCGUAGGUGGCUUGAUAAGCCGGUUGUGAAAGCCCCGGGCUCAACCUGGGAACGGCAUCCGGAACUGUCAAGCUAGAGUGCAGGAGAGGAAGGUAGAAUUCCCGGUGUAGCGGUGCAAUGCGUAGAGAUCGGGAGGAAUACCAGUGGCGAAGGCGGCCUUCUGGACUGACACUGACACUGAGGUGCGAAAGCGUGGGUAGCAAACAGGAUUAGAUACCCUGGUAGUC